Molecule: long non-coding RNA, 426 nt
Organism: Anguilla anguilla (European eel)
Lineage: Eukaryota; Metazoa; Chordata; Actinopteri; Anguilliformes; Anguillidae
Exons: 2
Source: RefSeq, a predicted model, not a curated record
AUCCUUCUGAAGGGUAGCCGCCUGAUCAGAACGCAGAAUCGUGUGGUGGGACCAGUCUACAAAGCAAGAUUUGGGCCAAAUAUAUCCAUCAAAAUGACUAAAAUGACUGCUGCUUACCUUGGAGUGCUUGUGCUAGUCACAUGUUUUUCAACACUGGUCCGCUCUAAUGCGACUAUGGCAACCCCAGCCGCUAACCACACCGUCACCAUGGCCCACAACUCUACUAUGAUGCUGACCAGCGCUUACACCAACGCGAAUAACUUCACCACUCCAAGCGGGGCUGUGUCCUUCACGCGGAGUGGCCCUUUCUCCAUACUUCUCCCCGUUGCCAUGGCAGCCUCUCUAGUGUGCAGCCGCUCCUGAAAAAAAAAAAAGAACCCAAGCGCUCAGUAAUCAACCAAGACUGUAACAUCCAGCGGCCAACAU